RNAcentral lists this long non-coding RNA (265 nucleotides) under Mytilus galloprovincialis (Mediterranean mussel). The record is from RNAcentral. Lineage: Eukaryota; Metazoa; Mollusca; Bivalvia; Mytilida; Mytilidae.
CAACAAGCUAUAAAGGGCCCCAAAAUUCAUAGUGUAAAACCAUUUAAACGGGAAAACCAACGUUCUAAUCUAUAUAAAAUUUUUAAAAAACGAGAAACGAGAAACACGUAUAAAUUACAUAAACAAACGACAACUACAGUACAUCAGAUUCCUGACUUAGGACAGGUGCAAACAUUUGCAACGGGAUUAAACGUUUUAAUGGAUCCAAACCUUCUCCCUUUUUCUGAAACAAUAGCAUAACAUCACAACAUAGAAAAACACACGA